RNAcentral lists this ribosomal RNA (32 nucleotides) under uncultured Atheliaceae. Its description in RNAcentral is "partial 28S ribosomal RNA". Lineage: Eukaryota; Fungi; Basidiomycota; Agaricomycetes; Atheliales; Atheliaceae. The record is from RNAcentral.
UGACCUCAGAUCAGGUAGGACUACCCGCUGAA